UACGUAGGUGGCAAGCGUUGUCCGGAAUUACUGGGCGUAAAGGGAGCGUAGGCGGUUUAUUAAGUGAGAUGUGAAAUACCCGGGCUUAACUUGGGAAUUGCAUUUCAAACUGGUUGACUAGAGUGCAGGAGAGGAAAGUGGAAUUCCCAGUGUAGCGGUGAAAUGCGUAGAGAUUGGGAGGAACACCAGUGGCGAAGGCGACUUUCUGGACUGUAACUGACGCUGAUGCUCGAGAGCGUGGGGAGCAAACAGG
Molecule: ribosomal RNA, 253 nt
Filed under: uncultured bacterium
Lineage: Bacteria
Description: partial 16S ribosomal RNA
Rfam family: Bacterial small subunit ribosomal RNA
Source: RNAcentral